This is a long non-coding RNA of Diceros bicornis minor, 799 nucleotides long. RefSeq lists it as uncharacterized. Lineage: Eukaryota; Metazoa; Chordata; Mammalia; Perissodactyla; Rhinocerotidae. The record is from RefSeq and is a predicted model, not a curated record. The transcript has 3 exons.
AGGGGGAUCGUAAGCAGCAGCUUUGCCCGAAGGUCUCACUUCGGCUGCGGAAAUCAGAGAAUAGUUCCAGUCAGUCGAGUGUGGAAGGAACCGAACACUCGGCUCCGUGGCGGGGGCGCUGGAAAUAGAUGGACCUGAGUCCGCACAAGCGCGGGUGGCGGCGGUGCGGAACUGCCGGCGCCGGCUCCUGAGCCCCCCGUGGUUUCUUACUGCCCACCGUCGCCGGCAUGCGGGGUUUUGUUUCACUGUUGGUGAAUAAGACUUCUAGUCUGAUGGUCUAGGUCCCAGCCAUGCCCACUCCGUGGCUUCAGGCCAGGCACGAGCUGAUCUGUGAGUUUAGCCACAUGGAUGCAAGAUACUAGGGGUCUCCUGGAGGAACCCAGGCCAAUGGAGCUUUAUCAGGAGCCUGCCUUCUCUAAACAUGCAUUGUCACCAGGCCCUGCUUGCUGUCCUUGAAGCGUCUUGACAACUACGUUCUUGGCCCCUUGAGAUGGAGGACAUGCUACGGAGCAUCUCCUGCGGUGUUCCCGAGGGUAAAGUGACGUGCCCAGGGGCUGCCGCCAAGGGUGGAGCCCUGGCUUCUGCUUCUGUGACAGCUUUGGAUGAUGCUGGUGGGCGUUGGGCCCCGAAGGCCUCCCGGGUCAGACUUCACCUAGGAUGUCACUGGUGAGCAGCUCGGGACACCUGUACAGUGCUGGCGUGAGCCUCGCCCGUGCUCACGCUGUCACUUCAGUUUCUCAGGUGACCAGUGGGGGGAAAGAGUGACUAUCAACAUAUCACAAAGAUGUUCGCUUUGAAA